RNAcentral lists this ribosomal RNA (253 nucleotides) under uncultured bacterium. RNAcentral's name for it is "partial 16S ribosomal RNA". It matches the Rfam family "Bacterial small subunit ribosomal RNA", at positions 524 to 776 of the family's 1533-position model. The record is from RNAcentral.
UACGUAGGGGGCAAGCGUUGUCCGGAUUUAUUGGGCGUAAAGAGCGUGUAGGCGGCCAAGCAGGUCCGCUGUGAAAACUCGAGGCUCAACCUCGAGACGUCGGUGGAAACCGUUUGGCUAGAGUCCGGAAGAGGAGAGUGGAAUUCCCGGUGUAGCGGUGAAAUGCGCAGAUAUCGGGAAGAACACCCGUGGCGAAGGCGGCUCUCUGGGACGGUACUGACGCUGAGACGCGAAAGCGUGGGGAUCAAACAGG